Molecule: ribosomal RNA, 889 nt
Filed under: uncultured bacterium
Lineage: Bacteria
Description: bacterial SSU rRNA
Rfam family: Bacterial small subunit ribosomal RNA
Source: RNAcentral
AGAGUUUGAUCCUGGCUCAGGAUGAACGCUGGCGGCGUGCCUAAUACAUGCAAGUCGAACGCUUUGUCUUUAAUUGAUAUGAAGAGCUUGCUCUGAUUUGAUUUUAUCUGACAAAGAGUGGCGAACGGGUGAGUAACACGUGGGUAACCUACCUCUUAGCAGGGGAUAACAUUUGGAAACAAGUGCUAAUACCGUAUAACACUAACAACCGCAUGGUUGUUAGUUGAAAGAUGGUUCUGCUAUCACUAAGAGAUGGACCCGCGGUGCAUUAGCUAGUUGGUAAGGUAAUGGCUUACCAAGGCGAUGAUGCGUAGCCGAGUUGAGAGACUGAUCGGCCACAAUGGGACUGAGACACGGCCCAUACUCCUACGGGAGGCAGCAGUAGGGAAUCUUCCACAAUGGGCGCAAGCCUGAUGGAGCAACGCCGCGUGUGUGAUGAAGGGUUUCGGCUCGUAAAACACUGUUAUAAGAGAAGAACGACAUUGAGAGUAACUGUUCAGUGUGUGACGGUAUCUUAUCAGAAAGGAACGGCUAAAUACGUGCCAGCAGCCGCGGUAAUACGUAUGUUCCAAGCGUUAUCCGGAUUUAUUGGGCGUAAAGCGAGCGCAGACGGUUAUUUAAGUCUGAAGUGAAAGCCCUCAGCUCAACUGAGGAAGGGCUUUGGAAACUGGAUAACUUGAGUGCAGUAGAGGAAAGUGGAACUCCAUGUGUAGCGGUGAAAUGCGUAGAUAUAUGGAAGAACACCGGUGGCGAAAGCGGCUUUCUGGACUGUAACUGACGUUGAGGCUCGAAAGUGUGGGUAGCAAACAGGAUUAGAUACCCUGGUAGUCCACACCGUAAACGAUGAGUGCUAGAUGUUCGAGGGUUUCCGCCCUUGAGUGUCGCAGCU